This 492-nucleotide ribosomal RNA is filed under the name uncultured bacterium. Its description in RNAcentral is "partial 16S ribosomal RNA". It matches the Rfam family "Bacterial small subunit ribosomal RNA", at positions 29 to 507 of the family's 1533-position model. The record is from RNAcentral.
AGUGAACGCUGGCGGUAGGCCUAACACAUGCAAGUCGAACGGCAGCACAGUAAGAGCUUGCUCUUACGGGUGGCGAGUGGCGGACGGGUGAGGAAUACAUCGGAAUCUACUUUUUCGUGGGGGAUAACGUAGGGAAACUUACGCUAAUACCGCAUACGACCUACGGGUGAAAGCAGGGGAUCUUCGGACCUUGCGCGAUUGAAUGAGCCGAUGUCGGAUUAGCUAGUUGGCGGGGUAAAGGCCCACCAAGGCGACGAUCCGUAGCUGGUCUGAGAGGAUGAUCAGCGACACUGGAACUGAGACACGGUCCAGACUCCUACGGGGGGCAGCAGUGGGGAAUAUUGGACAAUGGGCGCAAGCCUGAUCCAGCCAUACCGCGUGGGUGAAGAAGGCCUUCGGGUUGUAAAGCCCUUUUGUUGGGAAAGAAAAGCAGCAGGUUAAUACCCCGCUGUUAUGACGGUACCCAAAGAAUAAGCACCGGCUAACUUCGUG